Molecule: ribosomal RNA, 258 nt
Filed under: uncultured bacterium
Lineage: Bacteria
Description: partial 16S ribosomal RNA
Rfam family: Bacterial small subunit ribosomal RNA
Source: RNAcentral
GACGAACGCUGGCGGCGUGCUUAACACAUGCAAGUCGAGCGGUAAGGCCCUUUCGGGGGUACGACGAGCGGCGAACGGGUGAGUAACACGUGGGUGACCUGCCCUCAGCUCUGGGAUAAGCCUGGGAAACUAGGGUCUAAUACUGGAUAUGACUCCACGGUGCAUGUCGUGGGUGGAAAGCCUUGUGCGGCUGAGGAUGGGCCCGCGGCCUAUCAGCUUGUUGGUGGGGUGAUGGCCUACCAAGGCGACGACGGGUAG